AUUGAACGCUGGCGGCACGCCUAACACAUGCAAGUCGAGCGGCAGCAUGCUUAGUAGCAAUACUAAGUGAUGGCGAGCGGCGGACGGGUGAGGAACACGUAGGAACCUGCCCAAGAAAGGGGGAUAACUAAGGGAAACUUUAGCUAAUACCGCAUAAUCUCUGAGGAGAAAAGCUGCCCGUAAGGGUAGCGCUUUUGGAGGGGCCUGCGUCCGAUUAGCUAGUUGGUGAGGUAAAAGCUCACCAAGGCGAUGAUCGGUAACUGGUCUGAGAGGACGACCAGUCACACUAGGACUGAGACACGGCCCAGACUCCUACGGGAGGCAGCAGUGGGGAAUCUUGGACAAUGGGGGCAACCCUGAUCCAGCGAUGCCGCGUGGGUGAAGAAGGCCUUCGGGUUGUAAAGCCCUUUAGGCUGGGAAGAAGUGUGCGGGAUGAAUAAUCCUGUACAUUGACGGUACCAGCAGAAUAAGCACCGGCAAACUCUGUGCCAGCCGCCGCCGUAA
RNAcentral lists this ribosomal RNA (504 nucleotides) under uncultured bacterium. Its description in RNAcentral is "partial 16S ribosomal RNA". It matches the Rfam family "Bacterial small subunit ribosomal RNA", at positions 30 to 523 of the family's 1533-position model. The record is from RNAcentral.